RNAcentral lists this long non-coding RNA (701 nucleotides) under Ovis aries (sheep). RNAcentral describes it as "lncRNA (ENSOARG00000026980.1)". The record is from RNAcentral. Lineage: Eukaryota; Metazoa; Chordata; Mammalia; Artiodactyla; Bovidae.
CCGUGAGAGUGGGCAGUCCCACCCUCUGGCGGCCCCAGCCCUGAGUGAUCUGCGAGGGCUGGGUGUGCCCCCCUUCCUGCCCACUUUGGCGGAUCCGGGAGGAGACCUCGCCUUCUUCGGUACCUCCGGCUCAGAGGACCGCCGGGACUGCCUCUCCGGGCGCGCGAAGGAGGAGUUACCUCCUCUCCGCAUCCCCUACUGGGUGUCCCUUAAAAGAAUCAAUGAGAGAAUAAUUCAAUUACACUCUGCUGCUGCUGCUGCUGCUGCUAAGUCACUUCAGUCGUGUCCGACUCUGUGCGACCCCAUAGACGGCAGCCCAUCAGGCUCAGCCGUCCCUGGGAUUCUCCAAGCAAGAACACUGGAGUGGGUUGCCAUUUCCUUCUCCAAUGCAUAAAAGUGAAAAGUGAAAGGGUUAAAUAAUGUACUUUGAGGGACAAGAAGUGGUCUCUAGGAAAAACAAUGCUGUGACAUCGUUGAUGGCUAUUUUUGCCCAAUUCUGAAUUCAUUCAAUUUGGAUAACUUAAUUCAAGAUGUUAAGCCACUCUGCCAUGUUUGAUUCGUGGUUUUAUGUUUGCAUUUGAAAAUAAACUCACUGCCUGUAUUCACACAGCUGUAAUGGUUGUUAAUAUUCUUGUAAUAAGUUAAAAUGCUGAAUUUUUGCUUCUCUCUGACACCAAAUGUAUGGGGAUCUUAGAAGAUGU